GUCCACGCUGUAAACGAUGGGUGCUAGGUGUGGGGGGUAUCGACCCCUCCCGUGCCGAAGCUAACGCAUUAAGCACCCCGCCUGGGGAGUACGGCCGCAAGGUUGAAACUCAAAGGAAUUGACGGGGGCCCGCACAAGCGGUGGAGCAUGUGGUUUAAUUCGACGCAACGCGAAGAACCUUACCUGGGCUUGACAUGUCGGGAGUACCAAACCGAAAGGGGAGGGACUCGUAAAAUCGAGAUCCGACACAGGUGGUGCAUGGCUGUCGU
Molecule: ribosomal RNA, 269 nt
Filed under: uncultured bacterium
Lineage: Bacteria
Description: partial 16S ribosomal RNA
Rfam family: Bacterial small subunit ribosomal RNA
Source: RNAcentral